This 247-nucleotide ribosomal RNA is filed under the name uncultured bacterium. RNAcentral describes it as "partial small subunit ribosomal RNA". It matches the Rfam family "Bacterial small subunit ribosomal RNA", at positions 26 to 285 of the family's 1533-position model. The record is from RNAcentral.
AGAAUCAACGCUGGCGGCGUGCCUAACACAUGCAAGUCGCACGAGAAAGUGGAGCAAUCCAUGAGUACAGUGGCGCACGGGUGAGUAACACGUGAAUCAUCUACCUCCGAGUGGGGAAUAACCUAGAGAAAUCUGGGCUAAUACCGCAUAACACUUACGAGUCAAAGCAGCAAUGCGCUUGGAGAGGAGUUCGCGGCCGAAUUAGCCUAGUUGGCGGGGUAAUGGCCCACCAAGGCGAUGAUCGGUA